RNAcentral lists this ribosomal RNA (449 nucleotides) under uncultured bacterium. RNAcentral describes it as "bacterial SSU rRNA". It matches the Rfam family "Bacterial small subunit ribosomal RNA", at positions 29 to 524 of the family's 1533-position model. The record is from RNAcentral.
AACGAACGCUGGCGGCAGGCCUAACACAUGCAAGUCGAACGCUGUAGCAAUACAGAGUGGCGCACGGGUGCGUAACGCGUGGGAAUAUGCCCUUGACUACGGAACAACAUCGGGAAACUGAUGCUAAUACCGUAUAAUGUCUUCGGACCAAAGAUUUAUCGGUCAAGGAUUAGCCCGCGUCUGAUUAGCUAGCUGGUGAGGUAACGGCUCACCAAGGCGACGAUCAGUAGCUGGUCUGAGAGGAUGAUCAGCCACACUGGGACUGAGACACGGCCCAGACUCCUACGGGAGGCAGCAGUGAGGAAUAUUGGACAAUGGGCGCAAGCCUGAUCCAGCCAUGCCGCGUGAGUGACGAAGGCCUUCGGGUUGUAAAGCUCUUUCAGAUGCGAAGAUAAUGACGGUAACAUCAGAAGAAGCCCGGCUAAAUUCGUGCCAGCAGCCGCGGUAAU